UCAAACGCUAUGACGAAGAAAAGUAGCGCUCCCCCUGCUGUUUAGAGAGUUGCGGUCCCGGCUGAAAACCGCAGCACAGCAGCCUGCGUGAAGUUCCCUUCCGAGCGGUUUUGCUGAACCACAGUAGGCAAGAACGGUGUGAGCACCGUUAUCAGGCUCAAAGAGUGUUUGCUCCGAUUGGCACUUGCCAACUUGCAAAAAACAGGGUGGUACCGCAGGUAAUUCCGACUUGUCCCUAUA
Molecule: non-coding RNA, 240 nt
Filed under: Clostridium sp.
Lineage: Bacteria; Bacillati; Bacillota; Clostridia; Eubacteriales; Clostridiaceae
Description: T-box sequence
Rfam family: T-box leader
About the family: Uncharged tRNA acts as the effector for transcription antitermination of genes in the T-box leader family.
Source: RNAcentral